Molecule: small RNA, 798 nt
Filed under: Pan troglodytes (chimpanzee)
Lineage: Eukaryota; Metazoa; Chordata; Mammalia; Primates; Hominidae
Description: processed transcript
Source: RNAcentral
UUUUUGUAGCAUAUGUCACCAUUUCCACUCCCCAGUGACAAGCACAAAGCCAUCUAGAGCACAUCCUGCUUGUCCUUUGGGGCAUCUCUGUCAUGUGCUUAUAGUCACUCCUCUCCAUCUAUGUUAUACUGAUCUUACCCCAAGCCUCUUUCAUGUUGCGCUUUGUAAUGAAUUUCCAACUGCUCACCCUUUCUGAUGGACAAACCGCCCCUCAUAUCUUCCAAGAGAGACGACUGAGACAUGAACUGGAGGAGGGGAGAGACGACUAGGCGGGUGAAGUGCAUAGCUGGAGACUCACAGCAGGGAGUAUGAUGGAAGGUCUGAUCUUCAUGUUGGAAUAACUAACACAAAUGGGGUUGUGUAUAAUUACAGUGCACAUGGUGUCCAGCGAGACGGAGAAGGGUGGGAAGAGAGCAUAAGCAUCCCAUUACUGCAGCCCAACAUGUAUGGAAUGAUGGAGCAAUGGGACAAGUACCUGGAAGACUUCUCCACCUCGGGGGCCUGGCUGCCUCACAGGUAUGAAGACAACCACCAUAACUGCUACUCUUACGCACUCACGUUCAUUAACUGCGUUCUGAUGGCAGAAGGUAGACAGCAACUGGACAAGGGUGAAUUUACAGAGAAAGCAAUGAAAAUUAUUCCUAUAAAUUAAUGUGAGCUGAACAAAUUCACCUUCCAAUGUGCAUACAGAAAGUGGGGAUGUGAAGACAGCAAGUGACUAUAAGACGUGUGAUGGCCCAAGACUGAAUCAAGAAGCAGAUGCAAGAAUCUAGCUGACUUUCAGGAAAUUAGACCUUA